UAGCUGUCGACCUCAUAUGUCAUCACUACAGAUCACUGUGAUCUGAUUCUCUAGCGUCAGUCUAUCUACCUCUCAAAGCUCGGUUCUUAAGCCGCAAAGACAUGGAAGCUGUGUGUUUUUGAAGUGGAGGAUCUGCUUUUGAUGUCGUUGCCAGCCUAAAAUGCCCCAGCUGGUGACCUCUGACAUGUAAAUGGCGUCCAAAGUGCGAGAUGCUGUGGUGUGGUACCAGAAGAAGAUUGGCGCUUAUGACCAACAGAUAUGGGAGAAGUCUGUUGAACAAAGAGAAAUCAAGGGCCUGAGGAACAAGCCAAAGAAGACAGGCCAUGUGAAAGCAGACCUCAUUGAUGUGGACCUAGUGAGAGGUAAGGAGGACACACCAGCUGUCUCAUUCACUCAGAUACUGUCUGUCCCAGUCCAACCAUGUUGGCUGUCUGUCCCAGUCCAACCAUGUUGGCUGUCUGUCCCAGUCCAACCAUGUUGGCUGUCUGUCCCAGUCCAACCAUGUUGGCUGUCUGUCCCAGUCCAACCAUGUUGGCUGUCUGUCCCAGUCCAACCAUGUUGGCUGUCUGUCCCAGUCCAACCAUGUUGGCUGUCUGUCCCAGGCCAACCAUGUUGGCUGUCUGUCCCAGGCCAACCAUGUUGGCUGUCUGUCCCAGGCCAACCAUGUUGGCUGUCUGUCCCAGGCCAAACAUGUUGGCUGUCUGUCCCAGGCCAAACAUGUUGGCUGUCUGUCCCAGUCCAAACAUGUUGGCUGUCUGUCCCAGUCCAAACAUGUUGGCUGUCUGUCCCAGUCCAACCUGUUGGCUGUCUGUCCCAGUCCAACCUGUUGGCUGAGCAGGAUGGUGCUACGUUAGUGUCAACGUAGAGUGUCUCCACUGGUCACAUGAUGCGAGCCAGGUGUAGAAGUCCAGUGAAGCUAGUAUCAAAAUGGCUCCUCUUUUGUAACAUCACUCUUUCUCCUGCCCUCUCUCUCUCUCUCUCUCUCUCUCUCUCUCUC
This is a long non-coding RNA of Oncorhynchus tshawytscha (Chinook salmon), 997 nucleotides long. RefSeq lists it as uncharacterized. The transcript has 4 exons. Lineage: Eukaryota; Metazoa; Chordata; Actinopteri; Salmoniformes; Salmonidae. The record is from RefSeq and is a predicted model, not a curated record.